Molecule: ribosomal RNA, 253 nt
Filed under: uncultured bacterium
Lineage: Bacteria
Description: partial 16S ribosomal RNA
Rfam family: Bacterial small subunit ribosomal RNA
Source: RNAcentral
UACGAAGGGGGCUAGCGUUGCUCGGAAUUACUGGGCGUAAAGGGAGCGUAGGCGGGUUCUUAAGUUAGGUGUUUAAUCCCGGGGCCCAACCCCGGACCGGCACUUAAAACUGGGAAUCUUGAAUAGUGGAGAGGUCGGUGGAAUUGGGGGUGUAGCGGUGGAAUGCGUAGAGAUCCCCAAGAACACCAGUUGCGAAGGCGGCCGACUGGACACAUAUUGACGCUGAGGCUCGAAAACAUGGGGAGCAAACAGG